This 218-nucleotide long non-coding RNA is filed under the name Setaria italica (foxtail millet). RNAcentral describes it as "long non-coding RNA (SITA_LNC005970)". Lineage: Eukaryota; Viridiplantae; Streptophyta; Magnoliopsida; Poales; Poaceae. The record is from RNAcentral.
AAAUUCCCACACUGGGGAUUUCGAUGGCAAAUCAAUUUUCCGGGAGGAGCUCUCCGCUCAGGUUUGCGAACCACGAGGCUAAAUUCCCCUCUGGAGCAAAAAAUACUUCAAAAAAUUCAGAAAAAAGUAAAGAAAAAUCAUAAAUAUUUAGAAAAAUCAGAAACGCCUUGAAAAAUCUCUAAAAAACAAAAAUCUACACCAGCCUUACAUGACCAUCC